GGCUGGUCCAAGUGCAGUGGUAUUUACAACUGAUUGAUCACAACCAGUUACAGAUUCCUUUGUUCCUUCUCCACUCCCACUGCUUCACUUGACUAGCCUAAG
This is an unclassified non-coding RNA of Microcebus murinus (gray mouse lemur), 102 nucleotides long. It matches the Rfam family "Y RNA". Rfam says of the family: Y RNAs are components of the Ro ribonucleoprotein particle (Ro RNP), in association with Ro60 and La proteins. The Y RNAs and Ro60 and La proteins are well conserved, but the function of the Ro RNP is not known. NCBI's taxonomy places the organism in Eukaryota, Metazoa, Chordata, Mammalia, Primates, Cheirogaleidae. The record is from Ensembl.